UUUAUUAUCGUGCGACUUUUAGUCGCUAAAAUGAAGCAUUUAUAGUUUAAUGAACAUGCACGCAUUCUGCGACAAAAUAAUCGCUGCGACUAAAUAAUAGAACCAGUCCUAUUUUAGCAGCGACGCGACUAUCGCUGUUUUGAACGAAGCAUACCGACUCGUAGGGACGUGCACGCAUUGCGAUUAUUUAGCAGUACGAUUUUCGUUGGAUUGGAACCGUCCGACGUUUUCCCUGUUUUCAAUUGUGAUUAGUAGUACAUAUAUAAUAUAUUUAAUUUUGGGUGUGAAAUAUUUGAUAUUAAUAAAAAAUUAUGUCUGACAAUGAAGAAACGACCCACAUCGUUCUUGAUACUGAGAGAAUUAUUGUGGAAGUGGAAAAAAGACCAGCGCUGUAUAAUAAAGAAGUGAAAGAAUACAGCGAUAGAAAUGCGAAAGAGAAAUUAUGGACAGAAGUAUGCGCAAAUGUAAUACCAAAAUGGCAUGAACUAUCAGAUGCAGAAAGAAAAGACAGAGGGAAAGAAGUUCAAAAAAAGUGGAAGAAUCUGAAAGACCGUUUUGCGAGAGAGCUUGCUGCUCAGAAAAAAAUAAAAUCUGGUGAGCCUGCAAAAAAACGUCGGAAAUACAUCUACUUCGACGCAUUGCUAUUUUUACUUCCUCACCAACAACCCAGGACAACAAGUGGCAAUGUAGGGCCUUAAGGGCGACAAGGAAGAACUGUUAGACCAUAAUAAAGGACCCAGAAACGAUGAUGGAGAGCUUUCAAACGAUCAUGGAGGUCCCAGGAAUAACAACGAGGAGACUCCACGUUCUUUACCCUCUGCAAAACCUGCACAGAGGACACCACGCAGUCUUUCCAGCAAAUCUUCUCAUCAAAUAUCCACAUAUGAGGCUUCGUUAUUAGAGAUUUUAAAGAACAAACAAACGGAGGAAGUUUCAGAGGAUAAAAACUUUGCUCUUAUGUUAAUUCCUAUGUUGGCCAAACUAAACGACGAGCAAAAACAUUUGGCCAAAAUUGAAGUACUAAAUGUGAUGAGAAAUGCAAAAUUCUAUACACAGCCUGGGCCAUCAACACAAACUAACUUCCAUCAGUAUUUCCAUCCAGGCCCACAUAAUAUGCAGCAUCAAACCUCUGUACGUUUGCCAGCAGCUUUGCCUCAAUUUUCCAAUACAACCUCUGUACGUUUGCCAGCAGCUUCGCCUCAAUUUUCCAAUACAACAUCUGUAAGUUUGCCAGCAAGUUCGCCUUAGUUUUCCAACCAGUCUGAUAAAAACUCUUUCCUCCAGACCUACUAUUCGGAAUUUUCGAAUAAUUUUGAGUCAUCAAGAGAUUAUGAUAGCGAAUUAUAUGACUUGUAAUCAUAAUGUAUUAAUAAACUAAAAGGAAUAAAUU
Long non-coding RNA from Anthonomus grandis grandis, 1390 nucleotides. RefSeq lists it as uncharacterized. The transcript has 2 exons. The record is from RefSeq and is a predicted model, not a curated record. NCBI's taxonomy places the organism in Eukaryota, Metazoa, Arthropoda, Insecta, Coleoptera, Curculionidae.